This 405-nucleotide unclassified non-coding RNA is filed under the name soil metagenome. RNAcentral's name for it is "partial contains 5.8S ribosomal RNA, internal transcribed spacer 2, and large subunit ribosomal RNA". The stretch from base 1 to 122 matches the Rfam family "5.8S ribosomal RNA", at positions 35 to 154 of the family's 154-position model. The record is from RNAcentral.
GAUGAAGAACGUAGUGAAAUGCGAUACUUGGUGUGAAUUGCAGAAUCCCGUGAACCAUCGAGUUUUUGAACGCAAGUUGCGCCCGAAGCCUUUUGGCCGAGGGCACGUCUGCCUGGGCGUCACGCAUCGCGUCGCCCCCCCACAAUUCUCUGUAAAGGGAACUCGUGUUUUGGGGGCGGAUAUUGGUCUCCCGUGCUCAUGGCGUGGUUGGCCGAAAUAGGAGUCCCUUCGAUGGACGCACGAACUAGUGGUGGUCGUAAAAACCCUCGUCUUUUGUUUCGUGCUGUUAGUCGCGAGGGAAACUCUAAGAAAACCCCAGCGUGUCGUCUUUUGACGGCGCUUCGACCGCGACCCCAGGUCAGGCGGGACUACCCGCUGAGUUUAAGCAUAUCAAUAAGCGGAGGA